UUGUCUCUCUCCCGUGAUCCUUCUCCUUCUUCCACGUCGCUCUUUCAUCUCCAAACUCAAGCGGCGAUCUUCGGUUCCAAGCACAAUUUAAAGGAAACCAAGUUGAGAAUUCCUCCACCUUCUGUUUUUCAGGAAUGGCAACUGACGAGAAUUAUCAAUAAUAACUGGUGGUGUAUCAGCUGGUAAAUCCUGCAAUAACCUCUUCGAGAUCUUGUAACUCAACACAACAUCAAAUACCUUGUUAUCCAGUCUGUAAUCCUCAUAUACCAUUCCAAUGCAAUCAUCAAAACUGUUUUGAUCA
Camelina sativa (false flax) is the source of this 301-nucleotide non-coding RNA. The record is from RefSeq and is a predicted model, not a curated record. Lineage: Eukaryota; Viridiplantae; Streptophyta; Magnoliopsida; Brassicales; Brassicaceae.